ACACACUAUGAAAGGCAGCAACAAGUUUAAUGUUCAGAAACCUAAAGUCUGUAUCAGCAGCAGGAUGGAGCUAAAAUAAAUGUUGGUUUCAGUUCUAUGAAGCUUUGAGUAUUUUGGAUCAGUAGCUGCUGUGUUUGUUGCAUCAUAUUGCUGUAACUGUUUAUAUAUUCUGAGCUAAGUUGAUCUAUAGUGUUACAUCAUAUUCUAUAAGGAUGUUGUGUGUUUAAGAUGCUUGUCUUUGAGAUGGAAUAGACAUGAAAUGAUAGGAAAUAUAAAUAAAUAUUCCUUGAAUCUUUGCUGAAGCUCAGGUGCUCUUAAGUCUUAUAACCUGACAGGUUGUGCUGUAUCCUAUGAUGUAGGAUGCUGACAGCUACAUCUGUGUGAUGAUGGUGUGGUGGGUAUAUUUACAGCUUGAUAUUCAGAUUUCAGCCUCUGCCUUUGACCCAGAGGUGACAAAGUGUAAGCGAUAAAUGUUCACUCGGUAUCUCCAGUUUCUUCUUUAAACACUCCGACUGAGUCCAACCAUGAACCUGAUCCCUGAUCUACACACGGUCAUGUUUCCACUGAGAGUCAAAGCUGAUGUUUGCAGUGGAAAACGUCUCUAAGAACAUUUGUCAGCCUUGUUGUGGAAGAUUUAAAAUAACCUGCAGACACCUCGGUGAGCAUGACUGAAGUGGGUUUAAUGAACACACUGCAAUGUGGAGGGAAACACUCCAAACACCAGGUUGGUCUCUGUGGGCUCUGCUGUAAAGGCUCGGUCGAGUUACAACAGCCACGUGGCUCCAUCUAGCUGUUUAUCAUAGGAAAGUAAGAGUAAUGUGUUUAUGUCGCACUUUCACAGAUAAAAAUCACAAUAAAACCAGAAAUAUAAAUAAACUAUGGAACAAUGAAAUAAAAACAUAAAAGACUAAUUAAUUGAACUACAGCCCGCUCCAUGUGCUUCUGCAUCCACUUCCAAACACUUUUUAAAACAGUAUGAUGGGGUGAUGAGGACAUCAAACUAGAAGUGAACAAACACUAGCACGCAGUAACAUUACACAUCUCCCAACAGGAAGACAUAUUUCAACGUUUUUGAUCCAUGUAUUGAUGUUUAUGCUGAACAGGCGUGCUGCUUUGAAAACCACAUGCAGUGUGUGACCGUGACUGGCACACUGGGACCAUGAACGCCACGUCUCUGAC
Molecule: long non-coding RNA, 1179 nt
Organism: Astatotilapia calliptera (eastern happy)
Lineage: Eukaryota; Metazoa; Chordata; Actinopteri; Cichliformes; Cichlidae
Source: Ensembl